AUUGAACGCUGGCGGCAGGCCUAACACAUGCAGGUCGAGCGGAUGAAGGGAGCUUGCUCCUGGAUUCAGCGGCGGACGGGUGAGUAAUGCCUAGGAAUCUGCCUGGUAGUGGGGGAUAACGUCCGGAAACGGGCGCUAAUACCGCAUACGUCCUGAGGGAGAAAGUGGGGGAUCUUCGGACCGCACGCUAUCAGAUGAGCCAAGGUCGGAUUAGCUAGUUGGUGGGGUAAAGGCCUACCAAGGCGACGAUCCGUAACUGGUCUGAGAGGAUGACUAGUCACACUGGGACUGAGACACCGUCCAGACUCCUACGGGAAGCAGCAGUGGGGAAUAUUGGACGAUGGGCGAAAGCCUGAUCCAGCCAUGCCGCGUGUGUUAAGAAGGUCUUCGGAUUGUAAAGCACUUUAAGUUGGGAGGAAGGGCAUUAAGUUAAUACCUUGCUGUUUUGACGGUACCAACAGAAUAAGCACCGGCUAACUUCGUG
RNAcentral lists this ribosomal RNA (484 nucleotides) under uncultured bacterium. Its description in RNAcentral is "partial 16S ribosomal RNA". It matches the Rfam family "Bacterial small subunit ribosomal RNA", at positions 30 to 507 of the family's 1533-position model. The record is from RNAcentral.